Molecule: RNA transcript, 3346 nt
Organism: Microplitis mediator
Lineage: Eukaryota; Metazoa; Arthropoda; Insecta; Hymenoptera; Braconidae
Gene name: putative lysozyme-like protein
Exons: 4
Source: RefSeq, a predicted model, not a curated record
UACGAAAAAAUAACCCGCCGGCUAUUCGGGUAUAUAUAUAUACAUGUAUGUAGGUUUAUGUGUACAUAUAUAUAUAUAUGUGUAUGAAAUGAUAUAAAUAUGUAACCAAUAACAACAUUACCGAUCAAGUAUUUAAAAAUAAAAAAUAUACUCAACAAAAAUUAUAUCAUUACAGAUUUAUUAUUUUAUUGUAAAAUAAUAAUGGAAUAUAUUUAUAUAUUUAUUUUUAUAUUUUCACUGAUAUUUAUAACAAUUGUUAUUUUUAUUCUAAGACUAAUUUUUCAAAAUUGUGGAGAUAAUAGAUCAAAUCAUAUAAACAAUCAAACAGCUUUCUCAAAUGAUGAUCACGUAUAUGGUUUUGGUACAACAAAUAUAUAUGAUGAUCAUAAUUCUACUGCGUAUAUAAGUGAUAAUUAUAAUGAUUCAGUAUCAGGAUAUCAUCAUACGUCGUCAUCGCAUCAUGGUAUUAGUCAUUGCGAUACUAGUAAUGUAGAUAAUGGACAUUGCAGUAGUGGAAAUACUGGAGGUUGCGAUUCUGGAGGUGGUGAUACUGGAGGUGGUGAUUCUGGAGGUGGUGAUUCUGGAGGUGGUGGUGGCGGAGGUAGUUGUGAUUAAAUAUAUGUAAGUAAUAUGAGUACCUAAUAUAUAUAUGUAUAUAUAUAUAUAUAUUUAAAGCCAAGGAUACAAUGGAAUUUGUAAAAAAAUUAUUUUGUCUAUUAAUAAUUAAACUUUUGUAAAAUUUAUCAUGUACCUGAAAAUCGGAACGUUUUUCGCGGAAUGAAAGUAAAAAAAUGAAAUGAAAAGUAAACAAUCUACUGGAUCUUGAUUUUUGAAAUAUUUUGCAUAGGUGCUAGUAUGUCAGCCAAAAAUUAAAGGUCACCUUCAACUAUCCCUUAUGUCACCUUAAGCAGUCAGAAUUCAAAUUAUAUAAAUUUUUUUAUUUUUGUUCCACAAAAAACGAUCCGAUUUUCAAGUGCAUAAUUUAUGUUCAUUCUCAUCUCCAAGAUCUAGAGGAUCUAGAGUCAAAGUCAAGACGUUUGCAGUAAAAUAAGAGGCCUUAAAAUUAAUAUGAUAAAAUAAUGUUUUAUUUUGAUGAAUUGUUUAUUGUUAUUAGUAUCCGUUUUUAAGGGAUAUUAGAUACAGAGUAAAAUGGGACAGCUAUGAAAUUUAAUUUUGAAUGGCACAAAAUUACAUAAAGUCCAGAAAAUCGAAAGCUAAAAUUUUAUUUGUUAUAGCAAAUGAGUUAUUGAUUUUUUAAUAAAUUUAACGAAAGAGACAAGAUAAUUUAGUGAAUUUGAAAUUUUAAUUUUAUUUUUUGAGAUAAAAAAUUGUAAAAAUUAUCGAUUAAAUAUUUUUAUUUGUUUUUAUAAAAUAACAUUUAAUUGUAAUUAUUUUUAUUUUUAAUUUCCAAUUAAAAUUUAAAUGAAAAAUAAAAUGGUUAGUCUUUUUGAGUUUGUAAAAAUUAUUUUUUACUAUGUUUUUAACAACGUGAGCUUCGAAGAAUGAUAAUGUGAAUUUUAAAGUGAUAAAAAAAUAACAUCAUCUUCAGGAUUGAGAAAUAUUCAAAUUUUCAGUCUGAUUUUUGGGAGCAAAUAUCUUAGCAAUGGUUACAUUUUCAAAAAUUUAAAAUCACACCUUUGUAGAGCAUUCAAUUUUCUACUAAAACACGUAUUGAAUAUUUCUGAAUUCUCAUUGGCUGACAUGUUAUAAAAUUCAGAACGUGCAAAAACAAGCUCCUUGAAUUGUAUCAAACUUUGACCUUGGAUAUUUUUUGAAUGGUCCAAUUUAUACCAAAAUCAUAGACCUUUUUUGUAGACCAGUAAAUUUGCACAAAAUCUUUCGAUAUAAUUUUUCAGUAUCUUUAUUUGUUCGAAAAUUAUGAAAUUUUUCUCAUCUUACUGAAUAAAAAAUAGAAAAUUAUAAACAGCCACCUCUUAAGAGGGUCUAUAGUAAUUUCUGUCCAAAUUUUUCUCUUAAAAAAAUCCUCUAAACGCAAAAUUAAAACGAGACUUGAUGCAUUAUUUUAUAAUCUAGCAAUCUAGGUUUUCAUUUUUAAAAAAUAUUCAUCUGUUUAAAAAAAAAAUGUGAACAGUUUUCGUUUACUGUGCAAGUGCAACAAGGAUAGUAUCGUUCGUCGACUUGAGUGUGAUAGAGAAAAAAGUUCAGACCCCUCUUAUCAAUAUUAAGAGCUCAAAUUUUAACUGUCGCUAUGUUUUAAGAUACUCGAUUUUUUAAUGUUCUUAAAAAAAAAAAAAAAAAUUCAGUCCCUUUAUUUGAAACAGUCCAAUAUAUAUAUACAUAUGUUUAUAAUAGGACCCAUUGACAAAAUAUACCUUUAUAUAUAAAUAUAUGUGUGUGUAUAUGUAUCUGUGGUAUUAUAUAUAUGAAGGUAUAUUUUGUCUAUGGGUCCUAUUAUAUAUACAAUAUAUAUAUGUCUACUAUAAUGCUCUAGACUCCGUAAAAAUUUAGCAGAUUGCAAAACAAGUAGUUCACGUGUAAAUAUCAUCAGAAAAAUGUAAACUAACAUAUAUGUAUAUACUAAUAUAUAUAUAUAUACAAAUAUAAUAAUUAUUUUUAUAAGUAAUGUAAUAAUAAUACUAAUGAAAAAAAAAAUAAAAUUAUAGAAAUUUAAAUCUCAAAGCGCCGAUAAAUUUAAAAUAAUAAAUAAUUAUUAAACUGUAACUAAAAAAUGACGGACAUCUCAACGAUUUAUAUAGUUCUGCUAACUACAGUCGCGAUAUGUUAUAUAUCAGUAAUGGGAUAUAUUAUUUAUAUAAAUUGUUGUACUGAUCAAGGAUGGAGUAGAUCGAAUUUUACUGAUCUCACUAAUAUGCAAGCAGCUGCUUCUCCAGUCAUUGCAGUUAUCCACUGAAAAAAUCGUCUAUAGAAAAAUUAAUUACUGCAUUUUGAUAAAUAUAUAUGCCAAUAAUGAAUACCUCAAGCAUCACAAUAGACGAAUACGAUGAUUUUAAUACAGCAAAUUUAAAUUUUCAAAUAAGUCACAUAAUUGCCCAAAAUAAUGAUCAUUACUUUGAUCCGGGACAUUAUUAUGCAGGAGGAUGUGACUUGACUGCAGAUUUUGGUGGAUGUGAUGCUGGAGGAUGUGACGCUGGAGGGUGUGAUUAAAUAAUUUAUGAAAAUAAUAAUAAUAAUAAUAAUCUAGUCCAGCAGAAAUAAUAAUUAUGAUAAUGAAUAAUUGUGUUAAUAUAAUAAUAAUGUUAUUUUAUAAUAGUGUACAAAUUUCAAUUUUAUAAAUAUUUUUUUUAAAUAACAAAUUUAUUGUUUAUAAAAUAUAAUUAUUAUAUAUUUUAAUGUUUACAUAAUCAUUUUGUAAUAAAAAUAAUAA